RNAcentral lists this ribosomal RNA (624 nucleotides) under Escherichia coli. RNAcentral describes it as "bacterial SSU rRNA". It matches the Rfam family "Bacterial small subunit ribosomal RNA", at positions 70 to 687 of the family's 1533-position model. The record is from RNAcentral. Lineage: Bacteria; Pseudomonadati; Pseudomonadota; Gammaproteobacteria; Enterobacterales; Enterobacteriaceae.
CAGGAACAGCUUGCUGCUUCUCUGACGAGUGGCGGACGGGUGAGUAAUGUCUGGGAAACUGCCUGAUGGAGGGGGAUAACUACUGGAAACGGUAGCUAAUACCGCAUAACGUCGCAAGACCAAAGAGGGGGACCUUCGGGCCUCUUGCCAUCGGAUGUGCCCAGAUGGGAUUAGCUAGUAGGUGGGGUAACGGCUCACCUAGGCGACGAUCCCUAGCUGGUCUGAGAGGAUGACCAGCCACACUGGAACUGAGACACGGUCCAGACUCCUACGGGAGGCAGCAGUGGGGAAUAUUGCACAAUGGGCGCAAGCCUGAUGCAGCCAUGCCGCGUGUAUGAAGAAGGCCUUCGGGUUGUAAAGUACUUUCAGCGGGGAGGAAGGGAGUAAAGUUAAUACCUUUGCUCAUUGACGUUACCCGCAGAAGAAGCACCGGCUAACUCCGUGCCAGCAGCCGCGGUAAUACGGAGGGUGCAAGCGUUAAUCGGAAUUACUGGGCGUAAAGCGCACGCAGGCGGUUUGUUAAGUCAGAUGUGAAAUCCCCGGGCUCAACCUGGGAACUGCAUCUGAUACUGGCAAGCUUGAGUCUCGUAGAGGGGGGUAGAAUUCCAUGUGUAGCGGUGAAAA